This 856-nucleotide long non-coding RNA is filed under the name Elaeis guineensis (African oil palm). Its description in RNAcentral is "long non-coding RNA (EGUI_LNC069515)". The record is from RNAcentral. Lineage: Eukaryota; Viridiplantae; Streptophyta; Magnoliopsida; Arecales; Arecaceae.
CCCACAAUCGUCCCUCGCGCUGGGUGUGAUCCUUUUUAAUCAUAGUGGGAAGGUAUAUGGAGGUAAAGUAACCUUGUAACGGGAGAAAAAACGAGAUGAAGAAACCAAAGCUACUCUACAUGAUGUCCUUUCACUGUCCCAUGCCAUCCAUGCCUAAAAGCUUUAUGCCGGAGAGGUGUCCAUGAACUGCAAAAGCCCUGCAGCUGCCUCUUUGUUGUUUCACCAUUAGCUCUACGCCACACUUCCAAUCAACAAUGAGGCAGACAUGGAACCUUGCCGCUUCCCUGGCCCCACGUUGUUGGUGAGAUGCAAGAGGAACUAGAAGGUCCAUGGUGCACUGUCCUACAUCUCUGGCUCCACCAUCAGUGGUCAGGUCUCUUCUUGGUGGCAAGCUCUCCGACGGCAUGUAGAUGGUUGGUCUCUGAGCAUGUGUGGACCGGCCUGCUCCAUCUGCACAGGAGGUUCGUCUACCUGGAUUGGCAUUGUGGCCAGAGGGAGCUCUUCCUUGUCAGUAACCACCCCACUGCACUCCUGUCUCAAGAGAGGAUGGAUCUACGAUGAAAGAAGAAAACAUGAAGUCCCAUGUAUUCUUGGAAAGAACGCAACCCCAUCAAUGAAAAGCUGGAACAUGAAACAAUUUUGGAUCAUUGCAAUAUGAUAUCUAGUAUGGAAUAGUUUCUCCGGUCUAAAUUUGUUAUGGAUGAAAGCCUCUAAUUGUUUUAUAUGAUUAUUCCAAGUUCAGAUUCAAUAUGUCAGAAUUUGAUAUCAACAUUGUCAUGUAAUUAAUUAAGCGAUGCAAGGGAAAUAUCUGCAAUUUUCUUUUUUCUUCUUUUUUUUUCUAUUUUGUUCUUUGGAG